GACGAACGCUGGCGGCGUGCUUAACACAUGCAAGUCGAACGGAAAGGCCCCUUUGGGGGUACUCGAGUGGCGAACGGGUGAGUAACACGUGAGUAACCUGCCCUUGACUUCGGGAUAACUUCAGGAAACUGGGGCUAAUACCGGAUAGGAAUCCUUGCUGCAUGGUGGGGGUUGGAAAGCUUCGGCGGUUUGGGAUGGACUCGCGGCUUAUCAGCUUGUUGGUGGGGUAGUGGCUUACCAAGGCUUUGACGGGUAGCCGGCCUGAGAGGGCGACCGGCCACAUUGGGACGGAGUUACAGCCCAGACUCCUACGGGAGGCAGCAGUGGAGAAUAUUGCACAAUCGGCAGAAGCCUGAUGCAACAACGCCGCGUGCGGGAUGACGGCCUUCGGGUUGUAAACCGCUUUCAGCAGGGGCGAAGCUUGUGGUGACGGUACCUGCAGAAGAAGCACCGGCUAACUACGUG
Molecule: ribosomal RNA, 465 nt
Filed under: uncultured bacterium
Lineage: Bacteria
Description: partial 16S ribosomal RNA
Rfam family: Bacterial small subunit ribosomal RNA
Source: RNAcentral